AGAGCGAACGCUGGCGGCAGGCUAAACACAUGCAAGUCGAGCGGGCCCUUCGGGGUCAGCGGCGGACGGGUGAGUAACGCGUGGGAACGUGCCUUCUGGUUCGGAAUAACCCUGGGAAACUAGGGCUAAUACCGGAUACGCCCUUUUGGGGAAAGGUUUACUGCCGGAAGAUCGGCCCGCGUCUGAUUAGCUAGUUGGUGGGGUAACGGCCUACCAAGGCGACGAUCAGUAGCUGGUCUGAGAGGAUGAUCAGCCACACUGGGACUGAGACACGGCCCAGACUCCUACGGGAGGCAGCAGUGGGGAAUAUUGGACAAUGGGCGCAAGCCUGAUCCAGCAUGCCGCGUGAGUGAUGAAGGCCUUAGGGUUGUAAAGCUCUUUUAUCCGGGACGAUAAUGACGGUACCGGAGGAAUAAGCCCCGGCUAACUUCGUGCCAGCAGCCGCGGUAAUACGAAGGGGGCUAGCGUUGCUCGGAAUCACUGGGCGUAAAGGGCGCGUAGGCGGCGUUUUAAGUCGGGGGUGAAAGCCUGUGGCUCAACCACAGAAUGGCCUUCGAUACUGGGACGCUUGAGUAUGGUAGAGGUUGGUGGAACUGCGAGUGUAGAGGUGAAAUUCGUAGAUAUUCGCAAGAACACCGGUGGCGAAGGCGGCCAACUGGACCAUUACUGACG
Molecule: ribosomal RNA, 672 nt
Filed under: uncultured Alphaproteobacteria bacterium
Lineage: Bacteria; Pseudomonadati; Pseudomonadota; Alphaproteobacteria
Description: bacterial SSU rRNA
Rfam family: Bacterial small subunit ribosomal RNA
Source: RNAcentral